AUUGAACGCUGGCGGCAUGCCUUACACAUGCAAGUCGAACGGCAGCACGGGAGCAAUCCUGGUGGCGAGUGGCGAACGGGUGAGUAAUACAUCGGAACGUGUCCAGUAGUGGGGGAUAGCCCGGCGAAAGCCGGAUUAAUACCGCAUACGACCUACGGGUGAAAGCGGGGGAUCGCAAGACCUCGCGCUAUUGGAGCGGCCGAUGGCAGAUUAGCUAGUUGGGGGGUAAAGGCCUACCAAGCGACGAUCUGUAGCUGGUCUGAGAGGACGACCAGCCACACUGGGACUGAGACACGGCCCAGACUCCUACGGGAGGCAGCAGUGGGGAAUUUUGGACAAUGGCGCAAGCCUGAUCCAGCCAUGCCGCGUGCGGGAAGAAGGCCUCGGUU
RNAcentral lists this ribosomal RNA (389 nucleotides) under uncultured bacterium. RNAcentral's name for it is "bacterial SSU rRNA". It matches the Rfam family "Bacterial small subunit ribosomal RNA", at positions 29 to 424 of the family's 1533-position model. The record is from RNAcentral.